UGGCUUAUGGUGAAUGCCUUGGCACUUCGAGGCGAUGAAGGACGUGAAAAGCUGCGAUAAGCGGCGGUGAGGAGCACUUAUCCUAUGACCCGCCGAUCUCCGAAUGGGGGAACCCUAUAUACUGCUAUCUGAAUUCAUAGGAUAGUAAGAGCCAACCUGGGGAAGUGAACCAUCUCAGUACCCAGAGGAAAAGAAAACAACA
Molecule: ribosomal RNA, 202 nt
Filed under: Ditylum brightwellii
Lineage: Eukaryota; Bacillariophyta; Thalassiosirophyceae; Lithodesmiales; Lithodesmiaceae
Description: partial Bacterial large subunit ribosomal RNA
Rfam family: Bacterial large subunit ribosomal RNA
Source: RNAcentral